Molecule: ribosomal RNA, 503 nt
Filed under: uncultured bacterium
Lineage: Bacteria
Description: bacterial SSU rRNA
Rfam family: Bacterial small subunit ribosomal RNA
Source: RNAcentral
AUUGAACGCUGGCGGCAUGCCUUACACAUGCAAGUCGAACGGCAGCACGGGAGCAAUCCUGGUGGCGAGUGGCGAACGGGUGAGUAAUAUAUCGGAACGUGCCCAGUAGUGGGGGAUAGCCCGGCGAAAGCCGGAUUAAUACCGCAUGAGACCUGAGGGUGAAAGCGGGGGAUCGCAAGACCUCGCGCUAUUGGAGCGGCCGAUAUCAGAUUAGCUAGUUGGUGGGGUAAAGGCCUACCAAGGCAACGAUCUGUAGUUGGUCUGAGAGGACGACCAGCCACACUGGGACUGAGACACGGUCCAGACUCCUACGGGAGGCAGCAGUAGGGAAUAUUGGACAAUGGGGGCGAACCCUGAUCCAGCCAUGCCGCGUGAGUGAAGAAGGCCCUCGGGUUGUAAAGCUCUUUUGUCCGGAAAGAAAAGCAAUCGGUUAAUACCCGGUUGUUCUGACGGUACCGGAAGAAUAAGCACCGGCUAACUUCGUGCCAGCAGCCGCGGUAAAG